GGAACUUGGCCCCUGGAUGCCUGGGAAGCGAGUGGCGGCGGCAGCGUGCAGGGUGGGUGGUCGCUCUGUCUUGAGCCAGACACUGUGUCCUGGAGGGAGAAGAUCCCGUCCUGGUGGGGGGUCUUUUCUGCGUCUGGGCAGAGCCUGGCGACUGCAGCUGGUCUUGCCAAGACCUGGGAGCAGCCGGGCCCGUGUGGCAAGCUUCUAGAGGCCAUGUGCAUCCCUUGGCUUGUGGGCCCCUUCCAGCAAUGGGGAUAAAAGGCUGACUGGCUGGCUGGACGGAUGGACGGACAUCCAGAAAGUCUUUCGUCUCCUCGAAGUCUCGUCUCCAAGGCUGAAACAAUUGCCAAGCUUCUCUCAUCCCCGCCUCUACAGAUGUCAUUUUAUUCUACCUUGUCAGCAUCGGGAGGCUUCUCGCUGCUUUGUGGGCGAGAGCCCAUUCUCUUUCCAAACCUCCUGAAGAAGCAGUCCUCUUCAGUUAUGGGAAAAUAACUACAUUGUUUAAUCACCAGUGAUGUCAGUCAAGGAACCUUAAAGAGAUUAGUUCUGCUUUUAUUUGUUGAGACAAUGGAGAGCAUAAAAUAUUUAACAGCAUCAUAAUGUGGAACAGAUGGGAAAGAUACUGCCUUUCAGGGCCUCCCUAUGUCUCCCACCUUCCACCAACAGCCAAAACCAGGAGGCCAUUUAGGACAAUUUAUGGGCUGGAAGGCAGCCAAGGGACUGCUUGCCCAGGGGCCUCUGGUACCCGCCCAGCCCUGAUAAGGCCUACAGGGAUAUUCACUGAAGAGGAUCGAGUUACAAUCCUCUGAGCACUGGAAAUGCACAGUGCAUCUGGAUGCGACAUUGGGUUCAAGUCCUUGCUAGCUUUGUGUUAGUUAUCAAAGGGUGUUUUUCCACUAGUGCUGACUAUGUCAGGGAAUUUCCACCCAAAAAACCCAAAAGCUUGAAAAAUCACCAAGGAGUAAGUUUUAAUUUUGUUAUGUGCUGUGCAACCUUGGGCAAAUUUGUAACCUCUCUGAACUUGUGUCUUCUGUCACAAAAAACGAGAGAGGAGCUAGCUGCAAAAGCCAUUGUAGAGCUUGAGUGAAAUAAUGUUUGUAAAAGCUUGGUGAUGGGCACGUAGUAGGUGCUCAAAUUGAUCUCAGGCCAAGUGGAUGAGGGACCAGGUUUAGAACAAUGAGUCCACUGAGAAAUAUGUCACAUGCACAUGGUCUGUGGAUCUGCAUUCCAGACAGACUUUUAGAAGUUUUGAACUAAAGGAAUCUUUGGGACUAUUUAGACCAAAGGAUGCAAAGUGAAGUCUUGGGGCCACAUCCAGAUUAAAGACACACACACACACACACACACACACACAGUUUGCACAGGUAUUUUUUAAGUAUUCAGAUUAACUGCCACUUAAAAAUUGUAUUUCUUUUUAAACAUUAAAAUCUGAAAUCUCGAAUGAUCUCGAAACUGUCAGAUGCAGGGACCCAAAGCUCGCAUACCCACAUGACAACAACUGGACAGCGUCCCCAGAACCUUCCUUCACGAUAUCUUUUACACUUUGUUUCAUCUCUCACUUGGGCUUCCUGUCUGGAUUCUGCAUGCAUGUGAGUUUAUGAGGCCAGAUUGAGGGCAAUCCCUUCACUUUUACAGGUAAAGAAACUAAGGCUUAAGAAAACAAUGCAAAUGUGAGUCCCCCCAUCCCCUCCCAUAACCAACCCCCUUCACCCCCCCAUGAGAUCUUGGAGGUCUUUGUUUAAUUACACCCUCAGAGCCCUUCUUAACACAGUGCUUUGGGCAGUCAUUCAAGUAACCUAUCAGAUACCUCUGGGCUAAGAGAUUUUGUCCAAGAUCCUCCAGUUCUGCCCUAUUAACCUUAAGGUCUUGUUCUUUCUUCUACACCCAAUAAAUAGUCUUCGGGGUUAGACACAAUAAUACCUUUGACGUCUUUUGGAAGAACCAAAUAAUGUGUGUAAAGGUGUCAAGCAAAAUGUGACUAUUUCAUUUUAUUAAGCCUGGUAUGCAUGACCCAUCAAAUAAAGGCCUCCCUCCCUCCCUUCCCCAACUCCUGCGCCAAUUGGAGUUUUGACACGGGUUAAAAUAUAACUUGUGGGAGGUUUUCUAGCAACCUGACUACACGUUUUGUGUUUGGCCCCUUGAGCCCUUGGUCGGGGUUGGACAUACCUUUCAGCAAAAUCAUGAUUGUAAGAUGUUUCUUUAAUUAAAUGCAAUCUCUUUC
This is a long non-coding RNA of Lagenorhynchus albirostris (white-beaked dolphin), 2221 nucleotides long. RefSeq lists it as uncharacterized. The transcript is spliced from 2 exons. The record is from RefSeq and is a predicted model, not a curated record. Lineage: Eukaryota; Metazoa; Chordata; Mammalia; Artiodactyla; Delphinidae.